Molecule: ribosomal RNA, 843 nt
Filed under: Microbacterium sp.
Lineage: Bacteria; Bacillati; Actinomycetota; Actinomycetes; Micrococcales; Microbacteriaceae
Description: bacterial SSU rRNA
Rfam family: Bacterial small subunit ribosomal RNA
Source: RNAcentral
UCGCGUCUGCUGUGAAAUCCCGAGGCUCAACCUCGGGCCUGCAGUGGGUACGGGCAGACUAGAGUGCGGUAGGGGAGAUUGGAAUUCCUGGUGUAGCGGUGGAAUGCGCAGAUAUCAGGAGGAACACCGAUGGCGAAGGCAGAUCUCUGGGCCGUAACUGACGCUGAGGAGCGAAAGGGUGGGGAGCAAACAGGCUUAGAUACCCUGGUAGUCCACCCCGUAAACGUUGGGAACUAGUUGUGGGGACCAUUCCACGGUUUCCGUGACGCAGCUAACGCAUUAAGUUCCCCGCCUGGGGAGUACGGCCGCAAGGCUAAAACUCAAAGGAAUUGACGGGGACCCGCACAAGCGGCGGAGCAUGCGGAUUAAUUCGAUGCAACGCGAAGAACCUUACCAAGGCUUGACAUACACCAGAACAUCGUAGAAAUACGGGACUCUUUGGACACUGGUGAACAGGUGGUGCAUGGUUGUCGUCAGCUCGUGUCGUGAGAUGUUGGGUUAAGUCCCGCAACGAGCGCAACCCUCGUUCUAUGUUGCCAGCACGUAAUGGUGGGAACUCAUGGGAUACUGCCGGGGUCAACUCGGAGGAAGGUGGGGAUGACGUCAAAUCAUCAUGCCCCUUAUGUCUUGGGCUUCACGCAUGCUACAAUGGCCGGUACAAAGGGCUGCAAUACCGUGAGGUGGAGCGAAUCCCAAAAAGCCGGUCCCAGUUCGGAUUGAGGUCUGCAACUCGACCUCAUGAAGUCGGAGUCGCUAGUAAUCGCAGAUCAGCAACGCUGCGGUGAAUACGUUCCCGGGUCUUGUACACACCGCCCGUCAAGUCAUGAAAGUCGGUAACACCUG